Molecule: ribosomal RNA, 900 nt
Filed under: uncultured bacterium
Lineage: Bacteria
Description: bacterial SSU rRNA
Rfam family: Bacterial small subunit ribosomal RNA
Source: RNAcentral
AGAGUUUGAUCCUGGCUCAGGAUGAACGCUAGCUACAGGCUUAACACAUGCAAGUCGAGGGGAAACGACAUCGAAAGCUUGCUUUUGAUGGGCGUCGACCGGCGCACGGGUGAGUAACGCGUAUCCAACCUGCCCACCACUUGGGGAUAACCUUGCGAAAGUAAGACUAAUACCCAAUGACGUCUCUAGAAGACAUCUGAAGGAGAUUAAAGAUUUAUCGGUGAUGGAUGGGGAUGCGUCUGAUUAGCUUGUUGGCGGGGUAACGGCCCACCAAGGCGACGAUCAGUAGGGGUUCUGAGAGGAAGGUCCCCCACAUUGGAACUGAGACACGGUCCAAACUCCUACGGGAGGCAGCAGUGAGGAAUAUUGGUCAAUGGGCGAGAGCCUGAACCAGCCAAGUAGCGUGCAGGAUGACGGCCCUAUGGGUUGUAAACUGCUUUUAUAAGGGAAUAAAGUGAGUCUCGUGAGACUUUUUGCAUGUACCUUAUGAAUAAGGACCGGCUAAUUCCGUGCCAGCAGCCGCGGUAAUACGGAAGGUCCGGGCGUUAUCCGGAUUUAUUGGGUUUAAAGGGAGCGUAGGCCGGAGAUUAAGCGUGUUGUGAAAUGUAGACGCUCAACGUCUGCACUGCAGCGCGAACUGGUUUCCUUGAGUACGCACAAAGUGGGCGGAAUUCGUGGUGUAGCGGUGAAAUGCUUAGAUAUCACGAAGAACUCCGAUUGCGAAGGCAGCUCACUGGAGCGCAACUGACGCUGAAGCUCGAAAGUGCGGGUAUCGAACAGGAUUAGAUACCCUGGUAGUCCGCACGGUAAACGAUGGAUGCCCGCUGUUGGUCUGAAUAGGUCAGCGGCCAAGCGAAAGCAUUAAGCAUCCCACCUGGGGAGUACGCCGGCAACGGUGAA